UACGGAGGGAUCUAGCGUUGUUCGGACUUACUGGGCGUAAAGCGCACGUAGGCGGCUUUGUAAGUUAGAGGUGAAAGCCCGGGGCUCAACUCCGGAAUUGCCUUUAAGACUGCAUCGCUAGAAUUGUGGAGAGGUGAGUGGAAUUCCGAGUGUAGAGGUGAAAUUCGUAGAUAUUCGGAAGAACACCAGUGGCGAAGGCGACUCACUGGACACAUAUUGACGCUGAGGUGCGAAAGCGUGGGGAGCAAACAGG
RNAcentral lists this ribosomal RNA (253 nucleotides) under uncultured bacterium. Its description in RNAcentral is "partial 16S ribosomal RNA". It matches the Rfam family "Bacterial small subunit ribosomal RNA", at positions 524 to 776 of the family's 1533-position model. The record is from RNAcentral.